UGGGGAAUAUUGGACAAUGGGCGAAAGCCUGAUCCAGCGACGUCACGUGAAUGAUGAAGACCUUAGGGUUGUAAAGUUCUUUUAGUGGAGAAGAUAAUGACGGUAUCCACAGAAAAAGUCCCGGCUAACUUCGUGCCAGCAGCCGCGGUAAUACGAAGGGGGCAAGCGUUACUCGGAAUUAUUGGGCGUAAAGCGUGCGUAGGCGGUUUUGUACGUUGAAAGUGAAAGCCUUUGGCUCAACCAAAGAAUUGCUUACAAAACGGCAAGACUAGAGUAUUAGAGAGGAUAGAGGAAUUUCUGAUGUAGGGGUGAAAUCCGUAGAUAUCAGAAGGAAUAUCGAAGGCGAAGGCAUCUAUCUGGCUAAAUACUGACGCUGUUGCACGAAAGCGUGGGGAGCAAACAGG
This 404-nucleotide ribosomal RNA is filed under the name uncultured bacterium. RNAcentral's name for it is "bacterial SSU rRNA". It matches the Rfam family "Bacterial small subunit ribosomal RNA", at positions 355 to 776 of the family's 1533-position model. The record is from RNAcentral.